RNAcentral lists this ribosomal RNA (396 nucleotides) under uncultured bacterium. RNAcentral's name for it is "bacterial SSU rRNA". It matches the Rfam family "Bacterial small subunit ribosomal RNA", at positions 28 to 419 of the family's 1533-position model. The record is from RNAcentral.
GACGAACGCUGGCGGCGUGCCUAACACAUGCAAGUCGUACGGGAUUGGGGGCAACUCCAAUUCAGUGGCGGACGGGUGCGUAACACGUGAGGAACCCGCCCUAUGGUGGGGGAUAGCCGGCCUAACGGCCGGGUAAUACCGCAUACGCCGCCGGGGUCGCAUGGCCCUGGCGGGAAAGCGGCCGCAAGGUCGCGCCAAAGGAGGGGCUCGCGCCCUAUCAGCUCGUUGGUGGGGUAACGGCUCACCAAGGCUAUGACGGGUAGCUGGUCUGAGAGGAUGGCCAGCCACAUUGGGACUGAGAUACGGCCCAGACUCCUACGGGAGGCAGCAGUGGGGAAUAUUGCGCAAUGGCCGCAAGGCUGACGCAGCGACGCCGCGUGUGGGAUGACGGCCUUC